Molecule: long non-coding RNA, 3147 nt
Organism: Tachysurus vachellii
Lineage: Eukaryota; Metazoa; Chordata; Actinopteri; Siluriformes; Bagridae
Exons: 4
Source: RefSeq, a predicted model, not a curated record
CACACAUACAGAUGUAUUGUGUUGCUGUGUCUCGCUCUGCUCACUCACAGUCACACACAGAACAGCUCUCUGUCUCUCCCUCAGUCACUCGGGUUCGCGGGUCUUUUCCGUUAACGUUUAGGGUUUCUUCAGCUUUUUACUUCGGGUUGUAACGUUAAUAAUACGUACUUACUAACCAGUAGAGUUCUGGUAAACGUGGGUUCGUUCAGAUGUGGUGCUUGCUUGGUAGAUUCGCAUUGCGUCUCUGCCUGUCGGAGAUUUUUUUCUUUUUUAAACCUUCAGCUGUCUCUAACCAGUAACCAGACACUGAGUGUCUGACACAUUUUUGCUGUAUUUCAUAAAAACAUAAAGGUAGUAAGCUAGUGUUAUAAAUAUUACAAAUGAAUUAUUAAGCUACACUCACACACACACACACACCUGGUGUGGAAAUAAAAAUCACAUCACACUGAUCAUAAAAAAAUUAAAAGUUAAAAAAGAAAGUUAUGUUGUUGUUUACAUUUUACUUCAUAAUUGCACUGCAUUGUUUUGUUUUCAUUGUUGCAAAACUUGUUCUGUAAUAUAGUUUGUUUGCUAUCGGGAUCAAAACCAUUGAUCUGAAGCUCAAUCCUGAUGCUGUCCUGUAAAUAUUUUUCUAAUCAGCAAUAAAUAUAACAAUUUCUGAUCAACCCAUAUCAAUUGCAUGCUUAAAAUAACAUACCGGUUAAAGCCCCGCCCAUUUCAAGACAUGCACCGCCUACACCUGGGUUAGGCCCUACCCCCUCCGAGUACAGAUAGAUACAGAUAAUUCAUAUGGUAUACAGAUAAUGCUGUACUCGCUCAUCUCUACUUAGUAUUAAUUUGUUCACGAAAACCUUAUUAUUUUGUUUUCUAUCUUAUGUAGAGCCCUGCUAAAUUAGGGUCUAAUAAUUAUUUAGUUUGUAUUUUCUUUUACAGUAAACAGUUAAAAAUGAUUACUUGAUCCCAUAAUCCACCUCUUCUCGCAAUUCCUUCAAUCGCUUUUCAUAUUUUUCGCUCUCAAUUCUCUUGUUCUCCUCGUAAUGUAAACAAGUAGAAUUUCAUGAGUCCUGUUAUAAGUGAGAUCUGAUCUGUACAAAAAGAAAGAAGCAAACUUUAACGUGUGUUACCUACUGUAUAUGGUAAAUAAAAAUAAAAUAAAAAAAUGGUAAUAAAAGUGAAUACUCACGCUUCCUGCUGUUAAUGUGUGCUAGAAAGCUGUAUGAGGCUUUCAAAAAAUUAUUACAAAUAUUGCAGUACCUAAAAGGAAAAAGUACAUCACCUUUAAGAAAAUGUAUUAAAAUACUGCAUGAUGUCACAGUUUACAAGGGUUCACAGGGUUUGCACAUUGUAAUGACAUUUUUGCCAUUUUACCCACGCCUCCAGAGAAAUCCCUAUUUUCUAGUGGUGUGUAAAUAACAGUCAAAUAAGCAGUAAAUAACUAAACUAAAAUGGUUUGAUGUGGAGUUUGGAGAUGCAGUGUGACAAUGUGAAAAAGGACAUGUAGGCUUUCUGCAUAUAUCUGGUUCAGCAGAUGUUCAUCAGGGACCUACCCUCCCUUCUCAGCCUGGUGAGUGGUCAUUUUGUUGGACUCUGUGCUGGAGGGGGCGCUAGUUCUUUCUGUGGUUCUUUCUGAAAAUACAGAAAUAAAUGAAUCAAUUAAACACAAACUCGGUGGCCAUUUUAUUAGUGUCAUGACCAUCACUGAAAUCACUAGAUCUAAACUGAUUGUUCUGAGUUUUGUCAUUAAUCUUGCCAAGGAAUGAAGUUAUUGAAGUCAACAGAUGCUGCUGCUUUACACUUCAACUGGUUUACAUUAAAGUUGGGAUGCAUGAGGUUUGAAAAAUGCUUCAGAAAACGAACAAAACAAACGUGUAGCCAAUGAGCAGAAAGGGGCGUGUCUUGUCAAUAUGUGUGAUGGAUAUCAUCCUUUCAUUUUUAUUUAUUUACUUAGUAUUAAUUUGUUCACAAAAACCUUAUUAUUUUGUUUUCUAUCUUAUGUAGAGCCCUGCUAAAUUAGGGUCUAAUAAUUAUUUAGUUUGUAUUUUCUUUUACAGUAAACAGUUUAAAAAGAUUACUUUCAAACAAAAGAGAAAUAACUAAGAAAAUACUGUUAUAAAAAAAAUGUGGUGUUUAACCAAUGAGGUGAGUUUCUCUCUGACCUCUGGAGGUCAGAGGGCAGAGAGCAGGAAGCGAGUGAGUGAGAGAGACGGACGACACGAGGUGGCCGACAAACGUGCGCGAAUUGCACGGUCCACGUGAAAAAAACACUGUAAAGCUGAAAACUGAGUCUGUGGACUGCACACAAGGAAACUGAACAGAUAAGAGACUGCUAAGUAAAAUAAUCGUAAAUGAACUCUAUGUAGAGAGCGUAAGUGAGAGAGAGACUUGACUCAGCAUGCGUGCGUUCACGUGAGGGACCAAAGAUACCGCAGUUCUUUUACUCUCAGUGCUUGUGAGCUUUACGAGAUGCAUAUAGUCUCAAAAUUACAUAAAAUGGACUAUCACAAAGUUUAUUGACUGUACAAACGUUGCGGAAUGGUUUGCAAGGCCAAUAGUCAUAUACAGUAAGUGAGCAACGGAGAAACUGAAGGCUACGCGAUUCUUCAGGAGAGACCGAGGCCGCGUGGUGACGUCUGCUGCAACUUUGCCUCAUUUACAUCGUCGGAUGGGUGAUUAGCACAGUGUUUGUUCGUGGAUGGACGUCAGGGAAAAUCCUAUCGGCUGAUCGGAUUAUCGUGUUUUUCCAGUGGGUGCUUCGUUCUUGAGUUUCACUGUUCCAUUGGAUUUUGAAUGUGGCUGCAACACGUUUACCUUCGUCUGAUACUCGCAUGAGGGCACGCAGCAAGGCGAGCGACAUUCAUCCAGAAUGUGGCUGCAACACGUUCACCUUCGUCUGAUACUCGCACGAGGGCACGCAGCAAAGCAACUGGGAACAAAAAAGAGAAUGUGUCUGCAUCAGCUUUACCUUUACCAUCACCUGCUACUCACACACGCCGUAGGUCUCUUUCAGUUCUCAAAGCAACUGAGACUGUGUUCAGUUAAAUAGGAACUGUUUUGAGCAAUGGCAUGACGACAUUUAAACUCCAUUCUCAAAGAUUCACAGUGUGUGAUGGCUUACAAAUUUAUAUCUUAUUUUUUAUAUUGUAAAGA